RNAcentral lists this ribosomal RNA (492 nucleotides) under uncultured bacterium. RNAcentral's name for it is "partial 16S ribosomal RNA". It matches the Rfam family "Bacterial small subunit ribosomal RNA", at positions 29 to 507 of the family's 1533-position model. The record is from RNAcentral.
AGUGAACGCUGGCGGUAGGCCUAACACAUGCAAGUCGAACGGCAGCACAGUAAGAGCUUGCUCUUACGGGUGGCGAGUGGCGGACGGGUGAGGAAUACAUCGGAAUCUACUUUUUCGUGGGGGAUAACGUAGGGAAACUUACGCUAAUACCGCAUACGACCUACGGGUGAAAGCAGGGGAUCUUCUGACCUUGCGCGAUUGAAUGAGCCGAUGUCGGAUUAGCUAGUUGGCGGGGUAAAGGCCCACCAAGGCGACGAUCCGUAGCUGGUCUGAGAGGAUGAUCAGACACACUGGCACUGAGACACGGUCCAGACUCUUACGGGAGGCCGCAGUGGGGAAUAUUGGACAAUGGGCGCAAGCCUGAUACAGCAAUACCGCGUGGGUGAAGAAGGACUUAGGGUUGUAAAGCCCUGUUGUUGGGAAAGAAAAGCAGCAGGUUAAUACCCCGCUGUUCUGACGGUACCCAAAGAAUAAGCACCGGCUAACUUCGUG